Molecule: long non-coding RNA, 858 nt
Organism: Gossypium arboreum
Lineage: Eukaryota; Viridiplantae; Streptophyta; Magnoliopsida; Malvales; Malvaceae
Exons: 2
Source: RefSeq, a predicted model, not a curated record
AUCGAAACUGGAAAUAUUCCAAAUCUCAAAGCACAACGUUUAAACAAGGAUAAAAUUGUAACAAUGCGCGAAUCUCAGGGAAAAUGUAAAAACAAAUAAACAGAAUCAAGGCCGAAUCAAAGAUUAAUGCAGGAGGGGAGGGACUGAUCAUGGAAAUAACCCUCAAAGACCAAAUCUCAUAACUCAAAACUAAAAACCUAGACUAACAUUCAGCCAUUUGAAAAAGAAUCAAAGCAAAAAAAAAAAAAAACUAAAGCCUCCUUCCUUCCCCAUUCAGCCAAACCAAAAAACUCUUCCCUCAUCCACCAUUUAACCACCAUUUUCACUAUUAAAAUCGGUGAAUGAUGAGAAGGCCCUUUUUAUAUCCAAUAAAGCUGAGAUUCAAAGCCUAUUUUCACCUGAAAAUCCUCAUCUAAAACUCCGAUUUCGGCGGAGGAGACAAGGACCCAGACGGUACACCCACGAAGGUAUGGAGCCAGCUGGCUAAUGGCGCACGUGGGACUGGCCGGAGGCAACAGCAGUGCUGGAAGCUGCUGGAAACCAGUUGCGGCGCAAGGGAACCUUAGGGUUUCUGCCGAAAAUUUGGUUUAGUUUUGGGCCAUUGGGUGCUGGGCUAUUUGAGUUAAUUGGGUUAAUCUGAGUUUAAUGUUUGGGUCGGAUGCUGGGUUUAUUUUGGUUUGGGCUCUGUUGUAACAAAAGGGACUUAGAUUAUUAACAUUUGGUUUUAUUUAUUUAUUUAUUUUAUUUUUUUGGUUUUUUGUUAUGGGCCCGGGCGAAAUGGGCCUAUUACAAUACUAUCUAUACUAGUCCACUUAUCUUUUCAAUUACUUAAGUUAUUAUGAUAUUCAUUUCCAACGA